This 602-nucleotide ribosomal RNA is filed under the name uncultured bacterium. RNAcentral describes it as "bacterial SSU rRNA". It matches the Rfam family "Bacterial small subunit ribosomal RNA", at positions 335 to 929 of the family's 1533-position model. The record is from RNAcentral.
CCUCCUACGGGAGGCAGCAGUAGGGAAUCUUCGGCAAUGGACGAAAGUCUGACCGAGCAACGCCGCGUGAGUGAAGAAGGUUUUCGGAUCGUAAAACUCUGUUGGUAGAGAAGAACGUUGGUGAGAGUGGAAAGCUCAUCAAGUGACGGUAACUACCCAGAAAGGGACGGCUAACUACGUGCCAGCAGCCGCGGUAAUACGUAGGUCCCGAGCGUUGUCCGGAUUUAUUGGGCGUAAAGCGAGCGCAGGUGGUUUAUUAAGUCUGGUGUAAAAGGCAGUGGCUCAACCAUUGUAUGCAUUGGAAACUGGUAGACUUGAGUGCAGGAGAGGAGAGUGGAAUUCCAUGUGUAGCGGUGAAAUGCGUAGAUAUAUGGAGGAACACCGGUGGCGAAAGCGGCUCUCUGGCCUGUAACUGACACUGAGGCUCGAAAGCGUGGGGAGCAAACAGGAUUAGAUACCCUGGUAGUCCACGCCGUAGACGAUGAGUGCUAGAUGUAGGGAGCUAUAAGUUCUCUGUAUCGCAGCUAACGCAAUAAGCACUCCGCCUGGGGAGUACGACCGCAAGGUUGAAACUCAAAGGAAUUGACGGGGGCCCGCACAAG